RNAcentral lists this long non-coding RNA (346 nucleotides) under Malus domestica (apple). RNAcentral's name for it is "long non-coding RNA (MDOM_LNC012771)". The record is from RNAcentral. Lineage: Eukaryota; Viridiplantae; Streptophyta; Magnoliopsida; Rosales; Rosaceae.
GAGCUGUGUUGACUGUCAUUGCUUCUUUGGUGGAUUUCCAUGCAGCCUUUUCCCCCUUUGUCCCAAGAACUUUGUCGUUCUUGUAGUCGGCGAUCAGUUCUUUCUUCCCAUGAUGGGCGAUGCUCAACUCCAUGUCAUGGGCGCGGGUGGCUAGCUCUUCGAAGGUCCGUGGUUUGAUGCCUUGAAGGAUGUAUUGCAAACCCCAUUGCAUGCCUUGGAUGCACAUCUCGAUUGAAGAGGUUUCCGAGAGCCUAUCUUUACAGUCGAGGCUCAGAGUGCGCCAUCUGUUGAUGUAGUCAAUGACUGGCUCGUCCUUCCACUGCUUUGUGCUCGUUAGCUCUAGCAU